UGGCCAAGAACAAAUUAAGAGGGCAGAAGUCCAGGAACGUAUUUCACAUGGUCAGCCAAAACAACUUUAUAAGGCUAAAAACAAAGCAAAGCCAGUUACUACUCAUCUUAAAAUAAAUGUUAUGAAUGAUGAAAAGUUAACAAUGUUAAUAAAGCAUUUGUAAAUAUACAAAAGGAACUAAACUUCUCAAAAGCCCUUUCUCUUGAACCUCUGCAAAAAGAACCAAUUCCUCAGAAGCGUCAUGAAAGCAAACCCGUUAAUGUUGAUGAAG
RNAcentral lists this long non-coding RNA (271 nucleotides) under Homo sapiens (human). Its description in RNAcentral is "non-protein coding lnc-NIPBL-5:1". Lineage: Eukaryota; Metazoa; Chordata; Mammalia; Primates; Hominidae. The record is from RNAcentral.